UUAGACGUCCAUAGCGCGUUGAAUACAGCGGUUCUCGUUAGAUCACCAAAGUUAAGCAACGUCGGGCGCGGUCAGUACUCGGAUGGGUGACCGCCUGAGAACCCCGCGUAUUUCAAUU
RNAcentral lists this ribosomal RNA (118 nucleotides) under Melitaea cinxia (Glanville fritillary). The record is from RNAcentral. Lineage: Eukaryota; Metazoa; Arthropoda; Insecta; Lepidoptera; Nymphalidae.